GUGCUCACUUCGGCAGCACAUAUACUAAAAGAAGAUCAGCUUGGCCCCUGCUCAAGGAUGACACAAAAUUCAUGAAGCGUUCCAUAUUUUA
RNAcentral lists this small nuclear RNA (91 nucleotides) under Sus scrofa (pig). The record is from RNAcentral. Lineage: Eukaryota; Metazoa; Chordata; Mammalia; Artiodactyla; Suidae.